RNAcentral lists this ribosomal RNA (1273 nucleotides) under Acinetobacter sp. JS678. RNAcentral describes it as "bacterial LSU rRNA". It matches the Rfam family "Bacterial large subunit ribosomal RNA", at positions 1385 to 2642 of the family's 2925-position model. The record is from RNAcentral. Lineage: Bacteria; Pseudomonadati; Pseudomonadota; Gammaproteobacteria; Moraxellales; Moraxellaceae.
CGACCCCUAAGGCGAGGCCGAAAGGCGUAGUCGAUGGGAAAUUGGUUAAUAUUCCAAUACUUCUGUGUAAUGCGAUGAGAGGACGGAGAAGGUUAAGUCAGCCUGGCGUUGGUUGUCCAGGUGGAAGGAAGUAGGCAUGCAUCUUAGGCAAAUCCGGGGUGCUCUAUGCUGAGAUCUGAUAGCAAGCUGUACUUGUACAGCGAAGUGGCUGAUACCAUGCUUCCAGGAAAAGUCUCUAAGCUUCAGUUACACAGGAAUCGUACCCGAAACCGACACAGGUGGUCAGGUCGAGUAGACCAAGGCGCUUGAGAGAACUCUGCUGAAGGAACUAGGCAAAAUGGUACCGUAACUUCGGGAGAAGGUACGCUGCUGACGGUGAUGACCCUUGCGGUCUGAGCUAUUGGCAGCCACAGAAACCAGGCCGCUGCAACUGUUUAUUAAAAACAUAGCACUCUGCAAACACGAAAGUGGACGUAUAGGGUGUGAUGCCUGCCCGGUGCUGGAAGGUUAAUUGAUGGGGUUAGCGUAAGCGAAGCUCUUGAUCGAAGCCCCAGUAAACGGCGGCCGUAACUAUAACGGUCCUAAGGUAGCGAAAUUCCUUGUCGGGUAAGUUCCGACCUGCACGAAUGGCAUAAUGAUGGCGGCGCUGUCUCCAGCAGAGGCUCAGUGAAAUCGAAAUCGCUGUGAAGAUGCAGUGUACCCGCGGCUAGACGGAAAGACCCCGUGAACCUUUACUGCAGCUUGACAUUGAACUUUGACCUUACUUGUGUAGGAUAGGUGGGAGGCUUUGAAGUUGGAACGCUAGUUCCAAUGGAGCCGUCCUUGAAAUACCACCCUGGUAAUGUUGAGGUUCUAACUCUGCCCCGUAAUCCGGGGCGAGGACCAUGUCUGGUGGGUAGUUUGACUGGGGCGGUCUCCUCCUAAAGAGUAACGGAGGAGUACGAAGGUGCGCUCAGCGUGGUCGGAAAUCACGCGUAGAGUAUAAAGGCAAAAGCGCGCUUAACUGCGAGACCCACAAGUCGAGCAGGUACGAAAGUAGGUCUUAGUGAUCCGGUGGUUCUGUAUGGAAGGGCCAUCGCUCAACGGAUAAAAGGUACUCUGGGGAUAACAGGCUGAUACCGCCCAAGAGUUCAUAUCGACGGCGGUGUUUGGCACCUCGAUGUCGGCUCAUCUCAUCCUGGGGCUGAAGCAGGUCCCAAGGGUAUGGCUGUUCGCCAUUUAAAGAGGUACGCGAGCUGGGUUUAGAACGUCGUGAGACAGUUCGGUCCCUAUC